CAAAUUUGAAAUCUGGCGCCUUCGGUGUCCGAGUUGUAAUUUGAAGAAGGUAACUUUGGUUUUGGCUCUUGUCUAUGUUCCUUGGAACAGGACGUCACAGAGGGUGAGAAUCCCGUGCGAUGAGAUGCCCAAUUCCAUGUAAAGUGCUUUCGAAGAGUCGAGUUGUUUGGGAAUGCAGCUCUAAGUGGGUGGUAAAUUCCAUCUAAAGCUAAAUAUUGGCGAGAGACCGAUAGCGAACAAGUACAGUGAUGGAAAGAUGAAAAGAACUUUGAAAAGAGAGUGAAAAAGUACGUGAAAUUGUUGAAAGGGAAGGGUUUGAGAUCAGACUUGGUAUUUUGUAUGUUUUACUCUCGGGUGAGGCCUCUGCAGUUUACUGGGCCAGCAUCAGUUUGGAUGGUAGGAUAAUGACAUUGGAAUGUGGCUCUUCGGAGUGUUAUAGCCCUUGUUGAUACUGCCUAUCUAGACUGAGGACUGCGUCUUUGACUAGGAUGCUGGCAUAAUGAU
RNAcentral lists this ribosomal RNA (504 nucleotides) under Scheffersomyces coipomensis. Its description in RNAcentral is "eukaryotic LSU rRNA". It matches the Rfam family "Eukaryotic large subunit ribosomal RNA", at positions 110 to 638 of the family's 3401-position model. The record is from RNAcentral. Lineage: Eukaryota; Fungi; Ascomycota; Pichiomycetes; Serinales; Debaryomycetaceae.